Triticum urartu is the source of this 126-nucleotide non-coding RNA. The record is from Rfam. Lineage: Eukaryota; Viridiplantae; Streptophyta; Magnoliopsida; Poales; Poaceae.
UUAGUACUACCUCCGUUUGAAAAAACUUGUCCCUCAAAUGAAUGUAUCUAGCAUCAAGUUAGUGCUAAAUAUAUCCAUUUGAUGAACAAGUUUGGGACAAGCUUUUUCGGACGAAGGGAGUACGUA